Molecule: ribosomal RNA, 389 nt
Filed under: uncultured bacterium
Lineage: Bacteria
Description: bacterial SSU rRNA
Rfam family: Bacterial small subunit ribosomal RNA
Source: RNAcentral
AUUGAACGCUGGCGGCAUGCCUUACACAUGCAAGUCGAACGGCAGCGCGGGGCAACCUGGCGGCGAGUGGCGAACGGGUGAGUAAUAUAUCGGAACAUACCCUAGAGUGGGGGAUAACGUAGCGAAAGUUACGCCAAUACCGCAUACGCACUAAGGUGGAAAGUGGGGGAUUCGCAAGAACCUCAUGCUCAUGGAGUGGCCGAUAUCUGAUUAGCUAGUUGGUGAGGUAAAGGGCUCACCAAGGCGACGAUCAGUAGCUGGUUUGAGAGAACGACCAGCCACACUGGAACUGAGACACGGUCCAGACUCCUACGGGAGGCAGCAGUGGGGAAUUUUGGACAAUGGGGGCAACCCUGAUCCAGCAAUGCCGCGUGAGUGAAGAAGGCCUC